This 532-nucleotide ribosomal RNA is filed under the name uncultured bacterium. Its description in RNAcentral is "partial 16S ribosomal RNA". It matches the Rfam family "Bacterial small subunit ribosomal RNA", at positions 505 to 1036 of the family's 1533-position model. The record is from RNAcentral.
GUGCCCCCCCCCGCGGUAAUACGGGGGCGGCAAGCGUUGUCCGGAAUUAUUGGGCGUAAAGCGCGCGCAGGCGGAUCAGUCAGUCUGUCUUAAAAGUUCUUUUUUUUACCCCCGUGAUGGGAUGGAAACUGCUGAUCUAGAGUAUCGGAGAGGGAAGUGGAAUUCCUAGUGUAGCGGUGAAAUGCGUAUAUAUUAAGAAGAACACCAGUGGCGAAGGCUAUUUGGGGGAGGAAAACUGACGCUGAGGCGCGAAAGCCAGGGGAGCGAACGGGAUUACAUACCCCGGUAGUCCUGGCCGAAAACGAUGGGUACUAGGUGAAGGAGGUAUCCACCCCCUCUGUGCCGGAAUUAACGCAAUAACUACCCCGCCGGGGGAUUAUUUUUUUAGUUUGAAACUCAAAGGAAUUGACGGGGGCCCGCACAGGCGGUGGAGUAUGUGGAUUAAUUCCACGCAAAGAAAAAAACCUUACCAUUUCUUGACAUUGACGGACAAAACUAAAGAUAAUUUCCUCCUUCUUCAAAAACACAAAAA